This 65-nucleotide transfer RNA is filed under the name Stylotermes sp. Chi-131. RNAcentral's name for it is "tRNA-Arg". Lineage: Eukaryota; Metazoa; Arthropoda; Insecta; Blattodea; Stylotermitidae. The record is from RNAcentral.
AAGUGAAGAAGCAAUAAUGCAAUUAGUUUCGACCUAAUCAUAGAUAAACAACUUAUCCUCACUUU